RNAcentral lists this long non-coding RNA (403 nucleotides) under Brassica napus (rape). RNAcentral's name for it is "long non-coding RNA (BNAP_LNC017508)". Lineage: Eukaryota; Viridiplantae; Streptophyta; Magnoliopsida; Brassicales; Brassicaceae. The record is from RNAcentral.
AAAAUUUCGAGAUAAAACUUCCACAUAUGCCGAGCACACUUGAAAAAUAAAUUCAAGAAGAAACUCCGCAUGUUUAUUUCUGCAAAAGAACGAAGAGAUUUCUAUCCAAACAAGAAAUAACCGGAACAAGUUCUUUCGGAAGGUUUUUACGAAACAUCAUAGUUUUACAAUACAUUUUUCUGUUAAACAGACUUCUCAAAUUUUUUUGGUAAAAACUUUCGUCAAACAAGUAAAAUAAGUUUUACGAAACAAUCUUCCGUAGAAAGAAACUUUUAAAAGUUUACUUGGAAAACUUUUCGUAAAAAUAGCGAAGAACAAUUCCGAAAGCAUUCACAUCUACGAAAAAACGGAAGAGAUGAGACAAGGCAGGAGGAUUUCCUCAUCGCCUCUCUCUCUCUCCUCA